UCCAAGAACUCUGGGAGUGGGCGG
Molecule: non-coding RNA, 24 nt
Filed under: Mus musculus (house mouse)
Lineage: Eukaryota; Metazoa; Chordata; Mammalia; Rodentia; Muridae
Source: RNAcentral